ACCGGUUUGUUUCGGAGAAACAAGCUCAGGGCUCCAACUAAUUCAACAUAAUGUUUGAAACAGGACCAAGUGAGCAGAGCUUGGAGCUCUAAAUGAGGACUGAUUCAACAACAGCAGAGUCAGAAGAAAAGCGACGGGUGUCAGCAGAGUGGAGGAAAGAGCAGCGUUGCAUCGUUUGGACUGGAUCCGGGAUUCAGUGAAUGCAUCACAAAAGAAAGACAGAAAAUGGGAGAGUCAUAAACACGCAGUGAAGACAACUGCUCCAGGAAAUUUACUCAAAUUAGGAAUCAGCAUUUUACUACUGGUCAGAACCAUUGCAGCAGAUUUGUUCUCCUCAUUGUUUAGUAAACCUCCUACUGACUGGAUUUAAAGGUUAUUUGCGUCAGUGCGUCCUGAGGUCACAGCUGGAAUGCCACGUUUUGUUCACACAACAACACAUGUGCAACAUUAGCCCCGAUGUUUGACACCCUUCUGUUGUCAUUCUGUCUGCAGCCACAGGUUUCCAGCUUUGUGUCAUAGACGACUCCAGAAAUAACCUUUUGUAUGCAGGAGUAGGUGUGUUGCUUUGUAAACCCGUGGAAAAAUGAAACAUUAUCUCCUCACAGCGGCCUCAGGUUUACUCUACACUCGGCCUGACGCCACAGUCGACAUCCAGCUCUAUUAAUAGGACGUACUUCAACUUCAAAGGAGCUUAAACUGAAUGUCAUCAGUAAAUCAUUUACAAAGCAUUUACAUUUUUGUCAUUUUGCAAAUACUUUAGUCUAAAGUCAUCACCAAGGGAGGAACGUCACUGAGGCUGCAGUUAGGAAAGUCUUUGUUUGCCAGUUCCACCUUCAUGGAGACUCAGAUGAGAACUGUAUGGUUCUUCAUUGAGUAAUUACAUAUCUACAUGUUUUUCUGUAUUGACGAAAAACUAGAUGCACAUCAGCCACAUGGAGAAAAUAACAAUUGGUUAGACAGAAAAUUCUAGUUUGUAUUGCAGCAGGAAUACAAUUGGUGGCAUUCUGCUUCCAUGCCAUCAACAGCAGUUGCUGUAACAGGACGAUUGGAGUUGUACUUUACUUAAAGUUAAAUAUCCCUACAGUGCCUCAAUUUAUCUUUAAUAUAAGGUGAGG
Molecule: long non-coding RNA, 1115 nt
Organism: Cyprinodon tularosa
Lineage: Eukaryota; Metazoa; Chordata; Actinopteri; Cyprinodontiformes; Cyprinodontidae
Exons: 3
Source: RefSeq, a predicted model, not a curated record